RNAcentral lists this ribosomal RNA (740 nucleotides) under uncultured bacterium. RNAcentral's name for it is "bacterial SSU rRNA". It matches the Rfam family "Bacterial small subunit ribosomal RNA", at positions 8 to 796 of the family's 1533-position model. The record is from RNAcentral.
AGAGUUUGAUCAUGGCUCAGAACGAACGCUGGCGGCAGGCCUAAUACAUGCAAGUCGAGCGCCCAGCAAUGGGAGCGGCGGACGGGUGAGUAACACGUGGGAAUAUGCCCCGAGGUACGGAACAACUCAGGGAAACUUGAGCUAAUACCGUAUGAUCCGGCAACGGCAAAGAUUUAUCGCCUUGGGAUUAGCCCGCGUCCGAUUAGCUAGUUGGUGAGGUAAUGGCCCACCAAGGCACCGAUCGGUAGCUGGUUUGAGAGAACGACCAGCCACACUGGGACUGAGACACGGCCCAGACUCCUACGGGAGGCAGCAGUAGGGAAUCUUGGACAAUGGGGGAAACCCUGAUCCAGCCAUGCCGCGUGAGUGAUGAAGGCCUUCGGGUUGUAAAACUCUUUCGGCGGGGACGAUAAUGACGGUACCCGCAGAAGAAGCUCCGGCUAACUUCGUGCCAGCAGCCGCGGUAAUACGAAGGGGGCUAGCGUUGUUCGGAAUUACUGGGCGUAAAGCGCGCGCAGGCGGCCUUUCAAGUCAGGGGUGAAAGCCCAGAGCUCAACUCUGGAAUUGCCUUUGAAACUGUCAGGCUUGAGUACGGGAGAGGUGAGUGGAAUUCCCAGUGUAGAGGUGAAAUUCGUAGAUAUUGGGAAGAACACCGGUGGCGAAGGCGGCUCACUGGCCCGUUUCUGACGCUCAGGCGCGACAGCGUGGGGAUCAAACAGGAUUAGAUACCCCGGUAGUCC